GAUGAACGCUGGCGGCGUGCCUAAUACAUGCAAGUCGAGCGAACAGACGAGGAGCUUGCUCCUCUGACGUUAGCGGCGGACGGGUGAGUAACACGUGGAUAACCUACCUAUAAGACUGGGAUAACUUCGGGAAACCGGAGCUAAUACCGGAUAAUAUAUUGAACCGCAUGGUUCAAUAGUGAAAGACGGUUUUGCUGUCACUUAUAGAUGGAUCCGCGCCGCAUUAGCUAGUUGGUAAGGUAACGGCUUACCAAGGCAACGAUGCGUAGCCGACCUGAGAGGGUGAUCGGCCACACUGGAACUGAGACACGGUCCAGACUCCGACGGGAGGCAGCAGUAGGGAAUCUUACGCAAUGGGCGAAAGCCUGACGGAGCAACGCCGCGGGAGUGAUGAAGGUCUUCGGAUCGUAAAACUCUGUUAUUAGGGAAGAACAAAUGUGUAAGUAACUAUGCACGUCUUGACGGUACCUAAUCAGAAAGCCACGGCUAACUACGUG
Molecule: ribosomal RNA, 497 nt
Filed under: uncultured bacterium
Lineage: Bacteria
Description: partial 16S ribosomal RNA
Rfam family: Bacterial small subunit ribosomal RNA
Source: RNAcentral